RNAcentral lists this ribosomal RNA (497 nucleotides) under uncultured bacterium. Its description in RNAcentral is "partial 16S ribosomal RNA". It matches the Rfam family "Bacterial small subunit ribosomal RNA", at positions 28 to 507 of the family's 1533-position model. The record is from RNAcentral.
GACGAACGCUGGCGGCGUGCCUAAUACAUGCAAGUAGAACGCUGAAGAGAGGAGCUUGCUCUUCUUGGAUGAGUUGCGAACGGGUGAGUAACGCGUAGGUAACCUGCCUGGUAGCGGGGGAUAACUAUUGGAAACGAUAGCUGAUACCGCAUAAAAUUGAUUAUUGCAUGAUAAUUAAUUGAAAGAUGCAACUGCAUCACUACCAGAUGGACCUGCGUCGUAUUAGCUAGUUGGUGAGGUAACGGCUCACCAAGGCGACGAUACAUAGCCGACCUGAGAGGGUGAGAGGCCACACUGGGACUGAGACACGGCCCAGACUCCUACGGGAGGCAGCAGUAGGGAAGCUUAGGAAAUGGGGGGAACCCUGACCGAGCAACGCCGCGUGAGUGAAGAAGGGUUUCGGAUCGUAAAGCUCUGUUGUAAGAGAAGAACGGGUGUGAGAGUGGAAAGUUCACACUGUGACGGUAUCUUAACAGAAAGGGACGGCUAACUACGUG